Molecule: ribosomal RNA, 443 nt
Filed under: uncultured bacterium
Lineage: Bacteria
Description: partial 16S ribosomal RNA
Rfam family: Bacterial small subunit ribosomal RNA
Source: RNAcentral
ACUACGGGAGGCAGCAGUGGGGAAUAUUGGGCAAUGGGCGCAAGCCUGACCCAGCAACGCCGCGUGAAGGAAGAAGGCUUUCGGGUUGUCAACUUCUUUUCUCAGGGACGAAGCAAGUGACGGUACCUGAGGAAUAAGCCACGCCUAACCACGUGCCAGCAGCCGCGGUAAUACGGGGGUGGCAAGCGUUAUCCGGAUUUCCUGGGGGUAAAGGGCGUGUAGGCGGGACUGCAAGUCAGAUGUGAAAACCAUGGGCUCAACCUCUGGCCUGCAUUGGAACCUGGAGUUCUUGAGUACUGGAGAGGCAGACGGAAUUCCUGGUGUAGCGGUGAAAUGCGUAGAUAGUAGGAGGAACACCAGUGGCGAAGGCGGUCUGCUGGACAGCAACUGACGCUGAGGCGCGAAAGCGUGGGGAGCAAACAGGAUUAGAUACCCUUGUAGUG